UCGGAACCCAAGCCAGUAAUGCCAGUUCUGU
RNAcentral lists this non-coding RNA (31 nucleotides) under Rattus norvegicus (Norway rat). Lineage: Eukaryota; Metazoa; Chordata; Mammalia; Rodentia; Muridae. The record is from RNAcentral.